GACGAACGCUGGCGGCGUGCUUAACACAUGCAAGUCGAACGGAAAGGCCCUGCUUUUGUGGGGUGCUCGAGUGGCGAACGGGGGAGUAACACGUGAGUAACCUGCCCUUGACUUUGGGAUAACUUCAGGAAACUGGGGCUAAUACCGGAUAGGAGCUCCUGCUGCAUGGUGGGGGUUGGAAAGUUUCGGCGGUUGGGGAUGGACUCGCGGCUUAUCAGCUUGUUGGUGGGGUAGUGGCUUACCCAGGCUUUGACGGGUAGCCGGCCUGAGAGGGUGACCGGCCACAUUGGGACUGAGAUACGGCCCAGACUCCUACGGGAGGCAGCAGUGGGGAAUAUUGCACAAUGGGCGGAAGCCUGAUGCAGCAACGCCGCGUGCGGGAUGACGGCCUUCGGGUUGUAAACCGCUUUCGCCUGUGACGAAGCGUGAGUGACGGUAAUGGGUAAAGAAGCACCGGCUAACUACGUG
Molecule: ribosomal RNA, 468 nt
Filed under: uncultured bacterium
Lineage: Bacteria
Description: partial 16S ribosomal RNA
Rfam family: Bacterial small subunit ribosomal RNA
Source: RNAcentral